GAUGAACGCUGGCGGCGUGCCUAAUACAUGCAAGUCGAGCGAACGGACGAGAAGCUUGCUUCUCUGAUGUUAGCGGCGGACGGGUGAGUAACACGUGGAUAACCUACCUAUAAGACUGGGAUAACUUCGGGAAACCGGAGCUAAUACCGGAUAAUAUUUUGAACCGCAUGGUUCAAAAGUGAAAGACGGUCUUGCUGUCACUUAUAGAUGGAUCCGCGCUGCAUUGGCUAGUUGGUAAGGUAACGGCUUACCAAGGCAACGUUGCAUAGCCGACCUGAGAGGGUGAUCGGCCACACUGGAACUGAGACACGGUCCAGACUCCUACGGGAGGCAGCAGUAGGGAAUCUUCCGCAAUGGGCGAAAGCCUGACGGAGCAACGCCGCGUGAGUGAUGAAGGUCUUCGGAUCGUAAAACUCUGUUAUUAGGGAAGAACAUAUGUGUAAGUAACUGUGCACAUCUUGACGGUACCUAAUCAGAAAGCCACGGCUAACUACGUG
This 497-nucleotide ribosomal RNA is filed under the name uncultured bacterium. Its description in RNAcentral is "partial 16S ribosomal RNA". It matches the Rfam family "Bacterial small subunit ribosomal RNA", at positions 28 to 507 of the family's 1533-position model. The record is from RNAcentral.